UUUUUAUCACUCCGCGGCGGACGGUGUUUUGUUCGCGGUAAAUCGAUCCGUUCUUUUUAAACUUAGAUACCCGUACACAGGGUGCUCCACUAAGAUGUUAUAUCCGUUGCGACCGGCGGUGUUGCCGUUAAUUUUUUUUGAGAGUAUACCGAGCCGUCAAAUAAUACCGAAACGUAAACAUUUAAUGCAAUACGGAUAGUUUCUCUUAAGGUU
This is a non-coding RNA of Cinara cedri, 213 nucleotides long. Lineage: Eukaryota; Metazoa; Arthropoda; Insecta; Hemiptera; Aphididae. The record is from the annotation of a GenBank genome assembly.